UCUUUUUUUUCUUAAGUAAAACAUUUGAGUUCAAGCUAACCAAAAGUAAGACUUCCUCUUUGGUUCAAUCGUGUUAGCCAUUGCAUCUAACGUUAACAUGGAGUUACGGAACAUAGCUAGGCCCGACUGUCAAUACUAUUAAGUCUUUUCUUUCAUAAUUUAGCGUUAAAUGCUGAAUUUUACAGGGUGUCUGACUCCAUCCAAUGAAGGCGUUUAUAGCUGAAAUAUAAAGUUAUCCUUUGAGUCAGUGCUGCUAGAAUGUUCGAGCUCACCAACGUUACCUACCGUUGCUAGUUAACGGUAGCUAACAUUCAGUUAAACGGAUGUUAACCAGUUUAAACCGUUAAAAACAACCGGAUUAGAGCUACAAGCGGGCCAAGCCAGUAGUCAAGUGUUUGGAUGAUGGUGCAGAAGCAUCCAGACUGUGGAUGACGAUUAAACAAGCCCAUCACAUGUUGUAAGCAACAUAGAUGGGAUCCAGCUGGUCAGCGAGGAAAGAGUCACGGAGGUGCAUGCGUUGCUUCUCUCCCCUGGAGUUGAUGGGUAUAACCCCGGGGUCCACAAUAACCACCACGCCCACGAUAAGGUGGUGCUCCUCCAGGACCACGUUGGUUAUCAGAGGCACCAGGUCCAGUGCAUCCUGUUCGGAACCACACAGCUCCGACACCACCACCAGCAGAUGAGAAUCACCAAGUGGGCCUCUUGUCUCUGGAUUUACGAUGAUCACCCGCACACCUGGCAGUAUCUGAAAAUAAAAGGAAAUGUAAAGGCCCUGAGGAGUACAUUGUCAACAUGUCUUUAACUAAACACUUCACAAACUGAAUAGAGACCACUGGAAUGCAUAUGGAACAUCUCACCUUCCCAGACUCCAUUAGAGGAAGACUUUGAGGUGCUCCUCUCUCCACCAGCCUCACUCUAAAAGGACCAACAACACAUACGCCCGUAAGAAGACAUAUGCAGUUAUUCAUAAUCAAAACUCUUGAAUGUCCUUACAAAGAUUUUCUAUACCCACUUAUGCAGUUCAGAGUUGCUGGGUUUAUCAGGUUUACGUGUGAGGUUUUCUUUUUUGA
Molecule: long non-coding RNA, 1070 nt
Organism: Xiphias gladius (swordfish)
Lineage: Eukaryota; Metazoa; Chordata; Actinopteri; Istiophoriformes; Xiphiidae
Exons: 3
Source: RefSeq, a predicted model, not a curated record